RNAcentral lists this ribosomal RNA (253 nucleotides) under uncultured bacterium. RNAcentral describes it as "partial 16S ribosomal RNA". It matches the Rfam family "Bacterial small subunit ribosomal RNA", at positions 524 to 776 of the family's 1533-position model. The record is from RNAcentral.
UACGUAGGUGGCAAGCGUUGUCCGGAUUUACUAGGCGUAAAGAGCGCGCAGGCGGUCGUUCAAGUCGCGUGUGAAAGCCCCCGGCUCAACUGGGGAGGGUCACGCGAUACUGAUCGACUCGAAGGCAGGAGAGGGAAGUGGAAUUCCCGGUGUAGUGGUGAAAUGCGUAGAUAUCGGGAGGAACACCAGUGGCGAAGGCGACUUCCUGGCCUGUUCUUGACGCUGAGGCGCGAAAGCUAGGGGAGCAAACGGG